This 24-nucleotide ribosomal RNA is filed under the name Alternaria sp. MY-2011. RNAcentral describes it as "partial 28S large subunit ribosomal RNA". Lineage: Eukaryota; Fungi; Ascomycota; Dothideomycetes; Pleosporales; Pleosporaceae. The record is from RNAcentral.
UUGACCUCGAUCACGGAGUCAGCC